GAUGAACGCUGGCGGCGUGCCUAAUACAUGCAAGUCGAGCGAACAGAUGAGGAGCUUGCUCCUCUGACGUUAGCGGCGGACGGGUGAGUAACACGUGGAUAACCUACCUAUAAGACUGGGAUAACUUCGGGAAACCGGAGCUAAUACAGGAUAAUAUAUUGAACCGCAUGGUUCAAUAGUGAAAGACGGUUUUGCUGUCACUUAUAGAUGGAUCCGCGCCGCAUUAGCUAGUUGGUAAGGUAACGGCUUACCAAGGCAACGAUGCGUAGCCGACCUGAGAGGGUGAUCGGCCACACUGGAACUGAGACACGGUCCAGACUCCUACGGGAGGCAGCAGUAGGGAAUCUUCCGCAAUGGGCGAAAGCCUGACGGAGCAACGCCGCGUGAGUGAUGAAGGUCUUCGGAUCGUAAAACUCUGUUAUUAGGGAAGAACAAAUUUGUAAGUAACUAUGCACGUCUUGACGGUACCUAAUCAGAAAGCCACGGCUAACUACGUG
This 497-nucleotide ribosomal RNA is filed under the name uncultured bacterium. Its description in RNAcentral is "partial 16S ribosomal RNA". It matches the Rfam family "Bacterial small subunit ribosomal RNA", at positions 28 to 507 of the family's 1533-position model. The record is from RNAcentral.